AAGAGGCAUAAAUGGGUAUUAGGGUUUAGGGAAUUAUCAGAGAAGAUGCCUUUAUUGUCUCUUUGUUUAAUUCACCACUCUUGAAAUUCAUAGUUAGGAGGAGACAUAAAUAUAUGUACGUAUAUAAAAUGAACUGUAUGUAUAGGUGAGUAUGUUCUGAGAUCUGUGAACCAUUACAGUGAGAGAUAUUGAGGGGUUUUAGGUAAAAGUAGAUUCGUUCACCAGAUGAAGCGGAAGGGUCUGUAAUGAAGUGAAGAUGCAUCUGUGGUUUAAUUUGGGUAUGCAGAGAGAAAAGGUUUGGUUGAGAUCGAUU
RNAcentral lists this long non-coding RNA (313 nucleotides) under Panax ginseng (ginseng). RNAcentral describes it as "long non-coding RNA (PGIN_LNC017127)". Lineage: Eukaryota; Viridiplantae; Streptophyta; Magnoliopsida; Apiales; Araliaceae. The record is from RNAcentral.